Gossypium hirsutum (cotton) is the source of this 87-nucleotide non-coding RNA. The record is from Rfam. NCBI's taxonomy places the organism in Eukaryota, Viridiplantae, Streptophyta, Magnoliopsida, Malvales, Malvaceae.
CACGUCAGAGCGAUAUGCUGACUCAGCCGGAAAUCGCGUCCUAGAUAAAGCGAUUUCUUGACGAGUCAGCAUAUCGCUCUGACGUGG